Molecule: ribosomal RNA, 351 nt
Filed under: Salmonella enterica subsp. enterica serovar Jukestown
Lineage: Bacteria; Pseudomonadati; Pseudomonadota; Gammaproteobacteria; Enterobacterales; Enterobacteriaceae
Description: partial 23S ribosomal RNA
Rfam family: Bacterial large subunit ribosomal RNA
Source: RNAcentral
GCUAAUCCUGGUCGGACAUCAGGAGGUUAGUGCAAUGGCAUAAGCCAGCUUGACUGCGAGCGUGACGGCGCGAGCAGGUGCGAAAGCAGGUCAUAGUGAUCCGGUGGUUCUGAAUGGAAGGGCCAUCGCUCAACGGAUAAAAGGUACUCCGGGGAUAACAGGCUGAUACCGCCCAAGAGUUCAUAUCGACGGCGGUGUUUGGCACCUCGAUGUCGGCUCAUCACAUCCUGGGGCUGAAGUAGGUCCCAAGGGUAUGGCUGUUCGCCAUUUAAAGUGGUACGCGAGCUGGGUUUAGAACGUCGUGAGACAGUUCGGUCCCUAUCUGCCGUGGGCGCUGGAGAACUGAGGGGG